UUGGCUUAGAAGCAGCCAUCCUUGAAAGAGUGCGUAAUAGCUCACUGGUCAAGUGGUUCUGCGCCGACAAUGUAGCGGGGCUCAAGCGUACCGCCGAAGCUGUGGCAACAACGCGUUUGUGCUGGCGCCAGGAACUGGAGUGCUGGUGUGUUGUUGGGUAGGGGAGCGUCCUGCACGAGGUGAAGCCUGGAGGGAACUUCUGGUGGAUUGUGUGGGAGUGAGAAUGCAGGCAUGAGUAACGAAUCUGCGGUGAGAAUCCGCAGCGCCGAUUGACUAAGGGUUCCAGGGCUAGGUUUAUCCGCCCUGGGUUAGUCGGGUCCUAAGGCGAGGCCGACAGGCGUAGUCGAUGGACAACCAGUUGAUAUUCUGGUACCGCGUUGUGACCGCCCAUGCUGAAGUCAUUGUGCUAACCAAUUUGCCCACCGCCUGCUGGGCCUUCGGGUUUGGUGGUGUGUGUGGGUCUUGGGGUCCCGGUGAUUGUAGGCAAGCGUGUUAACAGGGGUGACGCAGACAGGUAGCUGCAGUGCGCCGAUGGUUGUGCGUAUUUAAGGUUGUGGCCCGCCUCCCAGGCAAAUCCGGGGGACACUGUGGGUGAGAACUGAUGAGGGACACACGCGUGUGUGGACUUGUGGUGAUCCUAAGCUGCCGAGAAAAGCCUCGACGUGAGGGCAUGACGCGCCCGUACCCUAAACCGACUCAGGUGGUCAGGUAGAGUAUACCGAGGCGUUCGAGUGAAUCGUGGUUAAGGAACUCGGCAAAAUUCCUCCGUAACUUCGGGAUAAGGAGGACCCCGUGACUUCCCAGUGCCUCGCGCGCUGGUGGGGUUGUGGGGUCGCAGAGAAUAGGGAGAAGCGACUGUUUAUCAAAAACACAGGUGCGUGCGAAGCCGUAAGGCGAUGUAUACGCACUGACGCCUGCCCGGUGCUGGAAGGUUAAGAGGAACCGUCAACACUCCUUUGGGGUGUGAAGCGGUGAAUUUAAGCCCCAGUAAACGGCGGUGGUAACUAUAACCAUCCUAAGGUAGCGAAAUUCCUUGUCGGGUAAGUUCCGACCUGCACGAAUGGCGUAACGACUUCUCCGCUGUCUCAACCGCGAACUCGGUGAAAUUGCAGUACGAGUAAAGAUGCUCGUUUCGCGCAGAAGGACGGAAAGACCCCGGGACCUUUACUAUAGCUUGGUAUUGGUGUUCGCUUGGACUUGUGUAGGAUAGGUGGGAGACUGUGAAGCUGCCGCGCCAGCGGUGGUGGAGUCGUCGUUGAAAUACCAUUCUGGUUCAAGCGGUCACCUCAACCUUGGCCCGUAAUCCGGGUUGGGGACAGUGCCUGGUGGGUAGUUUAACUGGGGCGGUUGCCUCCUAAAAUGUAACGGAGGCGCUCAAAGGUUCCCUCAGCCUGGUUGGUAAUCAGGUGGCGAGUGCAAGUGUACAAGGGAGCUUGACUGUGAGACCGACGGGUCGAGCAGGUGCGAAAGCAGGAACUAGUGAUCCGGCCAUGGCACGUGGGUGCGUGGUCGCUCAACGGAUAAAAGGUACCCCGGGGAUAACAGGCUGAUCUUGCCCAAGAGUCCAUAUCGACGGCAUGGUUUGGCACCUCGAUGUCGGCUCGUCGCAUCCUGGGGCUGGAGUCGGUCCCAAGGGUUGGGCUGUUCGCCCAUUAAAGCGGUACGCGAGCUGGGUUCAGAACGUCGUGAGACAGUUCGGUCCCUAUCCUCUGUGCGCGCAGGAAAUUUGAGAAGGGCCGUCCCUAGUACGAGAGGACCGGGAUGGACGAACCUCUGGUGUGCCAGUUGUACCGCCAGGUGCAUGGCUGGUUGGCUACGUUCGGAAGGGAUAACCGCUGAAAGCAUCUAAGCGGGAAGCCUGCUUCAAGAUGAG
RNAcentral lists this ribosomal RNA (1873 nucleotides) under human metagenome. RNAcentral's name for it is "bacterial LSU rRNA". It matches the Rfam family "Bacterial large subunit ribosomal RNA", at positions 1101 to 2808 of the family's 2925-position model. The record is from RNAcentral.